UCCUCGGUAGCUCAAUGGCAGAGCAUGCGGCUGUUAACCGCAGGGUUGUAGGUUCGAAUCCUACCCGGGGAG
This 72-nucleotide transfer RNA is filed under the name Rhodothermales bacterium. RNAcentral describes it as "tRNA-Asn". It matches the Rfam family "tRNA". Rfam says of the family: Transfer RNA (tRNA) molecules are approximately 80 nucleotides in length. Their secondary structure includes four short double-helical elements and three loops (D, anti-codon, and T loops). Further hydrogen bonds mediate the characteristic L-shaped molecular structure. tRNAs have two regions of fundamental functional importance: the anti-codon, which is responsible for specific mRNA codon recognition, and the 3' end, to which the tRNAs corresponding amino acid is attached (by aminoacyl-tRNA synthetases). tRNAs cope with the degeneracy of the genetic code in two manners: having more than one tRNA (with a specific anti-codon) for a particular amino acid; and 'wobble' base-pairing, i.e. permitting non-standard base-pairing at the 3rd anti-codon position. RNAcentral also lists the same sequence under 1 other name. Lineage: Bacteria; Pseudomonadati; Rhodothermota; Rhodothermia; Rhodothermales. The record is from RNAcentral.